This 5708-nucleotide long non-coding RNA is filed under the name Nicotiana tabacum (common tobacco). RNAcentral describes it as "long non-coding RNA (NTAB_LNC008424)". The record is from RNAcentral. Lineage: Eukaryota; Viridiplantae; Streptophyta; Magnoliopsida; Solanales; Solanaceae.
GCAAAAAUGACACCUAUUAAGAUUUUUUCAUAUCUUUUGUAACAAACCCACAUGCUGUCACUCAAAAACUCACAUGCACAUACACACUCUUAUUUUCUUGGCCACCAAUUAAUCCGUAUAUCUACAUGUAUAUAUCUACACGUAUAUAUCUUCCACUCACUCACACAAUUAAAAACACACAAAAAAAAAGGAGUGACGAGAGAGGGAAGGGGCAUCUGAAGAACAAAAAUAACACAAAAGAAAACGAGAGAAAAACAUAGAAUGGCAAAAGGAAAAAAAAACUCUAGAGAAAGGAGAGAAGCACAGCUUUGGGUUUGGGGGUUUUCUUCUUUCAUUUUUAUUGUUAUUGUUCUUCUUCAUCAUUCUUCUACACAACCAUGAACAUCACUUAAGAUCCAGCUAUAUAAAUCCACUUGAAAACUCCAUUAAAAUACCUCACAAGCUCCAAAAAUCAGCUGUUAUUUCCUCCAUAAUUUUAGCCAAAACGCAGCAGCAAAAAUGCCCCGAAACAGCCGUGAAUCCCAGCUCAAAACCAUCCAAAAAUGCCUGAAAAUACAUCCAAAACCAGCAGUAUAGUCCAGCCAUGAACCACCCUUAAACAGCCCCCAAACAAUCCAAAAUCUCAGCCCAAAAGAUACGGCCAAAGUCAGCUUCAAACUAAUCCAAAAAUCUGCCGCGAAACACCAUGAAAAUCCUUCCAAAACGGCUAUUAGUAACAAAACGGGGGUCUAAGGUUUCCUGUCGAAGUUCCGGUCGAAGGUGCGUAGUCAAUUUGGUUCGAGUUGCUGUCCACUUUUGCUCUUUGGUGUUGUAUUCAAAGGCUUUUCCCUUUUAAUAAAAGUUCGGAAGAAAAAUUUCUACUUAAAGGUCCAUUACUCAUCCUCCCUUUGCUAUUUAGUGCUUAGAUUAUGUUGAUAUAUGAAUAUUUUUAAGACCCAGUUAUUUGCUUCGUUGACUUGGUACUUUGAGGCAUGGAUUGAAUUAAUUACAUGAAUUUUAGAAUCAUGUUUCAGUUUGAUUAAGUACUCUAGAGUUAUAAUCAUAAUCUGUCAUAGCUUGGUUUUCUAGCAAUUGGUUGUGGGUUAAAGUUAACUCAUUAAAUUGUUGGGCCAUGUGGUUUUAAAUGUCACACAAACAAGGUUGGGCCGUAGGGUGUUAGAAUUGCUUUGAUUUUGUUUGUUGGGUUGUGGCGUAAUCCUGAAGUGGAGAUGAGAUUUUGGCCCAAUGAGUUUAGUUUGCCGGCCCAAUAAUUCUACUAUUUCCAUAAAAGCUGGCCCAUUUUACCAUAAUAGAUAAAUGCCUCGUAGCUUCGAAACCAUAAAUACUUUAGUAGUUCAUCUCGAUAAUAAUUUAUAGUGAUCAAUUAGUAUACUUCAUCCACAAAGUGAUUUCCAUAACCUUUGGCCUCACAAUAAUCUCAAAUUACUUUAGGAAAAUAAUUCAAAUGCGCUAGUUGCUUUAGGCACGAUUAAUAAAUAAAUCAUCGUGAUUAUGGAUACGGUUCUCUAUCCCUCGAAAAAAGGAGAUGUGACAGGGACUGAAACUGCUUUUACACGGUGGUUAAUGGUGGACUGCCUUAUACCUUACAUGGAGACAACCUUCAUUUUUGGUUUCUCAAAGAGCAAAUUUUGAGCUCAACGGCCUCGAUUAGGAGUGGCAAACUGGCGGGUCGGGUCGGAUAUGAUUCGGGUCGAAAACGGGUAAUGAAAAAACGGAUAAUUUAUCCGACCCGAUCCAUAUUUAAUACGGAUAAAAAAGAGUUAACCGGCGGAUAAUAUGGGUAACCAUUUUAUCCGUGACUUCUUGAAUAUGAUCAUUUUGGGGAGAAUUCCUAGUCUCCCAAAGUUGAGGAACCCCAAAUUUGAGGCUAUACAAAUGUAAAAGUUAAACUCAUUAGUUACUCAUUGAUUAUCCAUUUUCUAAAUGGAUAAUAUGGUUCUUAUCCAUAUUUGACCCGUUUUUGAAAAGUUCAUUAUUCAACCCAUUUUUUAAUGAAUAAUAUGGGUGAUUAACUAUUUUCUUUUAACCAUUUUACCAUCACUAGCCUGAUCUUUCGUUAUUUGAUCAAAAGAAGUUAAAAUUAUACUGGAUAGCAAGAACAUUAUACACGCUUACCAUGUGUUUGAGGAACGUUCACUGUGAAAAUCCAAAAGCUACGCAUAAACUGGAUAGCUACAGACUCUAGUUAUGAUGCUUGCCAAGAAACAUAGGUUAGUACUCCUGGGACCAUUUUGUCAUUUGUUUGUCAAUUUCUUCUUUUUAUACUCCAUUACUUUGUGUUGCAUUCCAAAGACUUGAUUAGUUUAAUCAUCUGGUCAAGUGGAUUAAGGCUUAAGAAAUAGAUAUAUACAAACUUCCAUAUUUGCAAAGGAAAGAGAAUAGCUGAUAGAAUCAUCUUCACAAAGAUUGACCCCUAAUCUUAUCAAGAUAAAUCACCUUUGCUCCAGCUAAGUCCAAGUUGAGAAUUUAUAUAGCAAAAUAAUUGAACAUGAUAAAAAGAACUUUGCAAAGAUAUAUCUUAAUUACUACAUAAUACUAUGUAUAUCCAGUCAAAUCUCUUUAUAACAGCCUCGUUUGUUCCGAUACUUUUUGACUGCUAUAGUGAAGUGUUGUUAUAGAGGACAUAUAUUAUAACAUAACAUAAAAAUCGGUUCCGAGAAAAAACUUGGCUUUUAUAGGAAUGAUUGUUAUAUAGGAAUACUGUUAUAUAGAGGUUUGACUGUAUACCACCAGCUCCCCCGUAUAAAACAUAAUGCGGGAACCUUUGGAUCAUCGACAAAUACAAGUGUUUUCUCUACAUAAUUGUCUCUGGUUUAUCAUUUAAAGUUAGAAGUCCCCUGCAAUAAGCAUCAUAGGUAGAGUGUAUACAAGGAAAAUCUAGGGAGCCCAUUGGAGGUUCAGGUACACCUCGAGGACUGUAUGCCACUACUCCCCCACUCAACAUUAUUAGUAAAGUUUCCCAAUGUGGUGAAAACCUGAGGCCAAAAAUUGACUUGUGACGAUCCGGCCGGUCGUCUUGAGAGUUAUAGUCCCGAUCCCCUAUUAACUGUUUCUCUCAUAUCUAUUUCUGCUAUUGUGACUUACCGGGAGGUUUUGGUUUUAGUUUUUGGAGUGUUUUGGGACACUUAGUCCCUAAAUAGAGGUUUAAGCCUUAGGAUUGGCACCGUAGUCGGAACUGUGUGAAGACGACGCUGGAAUGGAAUUCCGUCGAUUUCGUUAAUUUCGUUGUGUGAUUUUGGGCUUAGGGGCGUGUCCGGAUUGUGUUUUGGAAGUCCGUAGCUCAUUUAGGCUUGAAAUAGCAAAAGUCAAAUUUUUGGAGUUUUGGACUGGAAGUGGAAUUUGUUGAUAUCGGGGUCGGAUUCUGAUUCUGGAAGUUGGAAUAGGUCCGUAGUAUUGAAUAUGACUUGUGUGAAAAAUUUGAGGUCAAUCGGACGUGGUUUGGUUGGUUUCGACAUCGGUUGUCGAAUUUGAAAGUUUCAAGCUUCUUUAAGUUUCAAUUGGGGGGUGAUUUGUAAUUUUAGCGUUGUUUGAUGUGAUUUGAGGGCUCGACUAAGUUCAUAUGGUGUUUUAGGAUUGGUUGGUAUGUUUGGUUGAGGUCCCGGGGGCUUCGGGUGUGUUUCGGGUGCUUAACGGAUGAAUUUUGGACUUAGGAAAAUUGCUGAGUUUUUGCUGGUUCUGGUGUUCCGCACCUGCAGAGAGGAGACCGCAGGUGCGGGCUCGCACGUGUGGAGGAACAGGCGCAGAUGCGGAAUUUGGAGGCUUGACCAGGGGUCACAGGGGCGAGGAAUUUUCGCAUCUGCGAUGCCCGCAGAUGCACCCAAAUGAUUUGCAGGCGCGGAGGAAGACCGCAUAAGCAGACAGUAUUCCGCAGGCGUGCACGCACAGGUGCGGCCCCCACUUUCACAGAUGCGGACCCAACCCUCUUAAGUGAUUUCCGCACCUGCGAGGAAUUUUCUGCAGAUGCGGCGUCGCAGGUGCGACCUAUGGCCCGCAGGUGCGAAGAUCGCUGGGCAGAAAAGGGGCAGAAUCGAGGGUUGAGGUUCAUAUUCACAAAUUUGAUUUUUGAGCUCGGGAGAAGGCGAUUUCUUGAGGGAUUUUCAGAGAAAGCUUUGGGGUAACGAUUCCUAACUUGAUUUUGAUCAUAUUUCAUUAAUCUAUUUUUGUUUUCUUCAUUUAAUUAAGGAAUUUGAGUGAGAAAGUUAGGAGAAUGGGGGAAAAGUUCCCCAACCGAAUUUCUGAGUUUUGAGUGGGAUUUAGACAUCGGAUUUGGAUAAUUUUGGUACGAGUGAUCUCGUGAGUGAAUGAGUGUUCAUAUUUGAUAACUUUUACCCGAUUCCGAGACGUGGGUCCGGGGAUAUUUUUUUGGGCGUUUUUCUAAUUUCUUGCCUUAGCUUUGAUUUCGUUAACUAGACUAGUUUCUUGUAGCUAUUUUUAUGUUAUGUAAUUAGUUUUGGCUAGAUUUGAGCCAUUUGGAGUCGGAUAUUCGUGGAAAGAGCAUUGUGACAGAUUGAUUUGAGCUUGGUUCGAGGUAGAUGGCUUGCCUAACCUUGUGCGGGGAAAUUUCCCUUAGGAUUUGGUACUGUUUGAUAUGUGAGCGUCGUGUACAUGAGGUGACAAGUAUGUACACAGGCUAUUUGUUGUAAAACUCCAUUUUUUUUACUAAGUCAUAACUUGUUUUCUCCUUACUUGAAACACACCAGCAUAUGUAACUAUCCUGUUUAGACUAGAAUAGCACGCCUACUUGUUUAACUGCCUAUUUGAACUCUGUGCAGCAUGUUUAAUGAAAUUUCCUGCUUUCCUUGACUUGAACUUAGUCUAAACUAUAGGAUUUCUUGCUGUAAUUAUUAUUUCGGUUGGUUACGCUGCAUAUUUAUUUUGGGACUACAGAACGGUAUUGCGGGAGAUCCCCAUGUACUGCAUAUUUACUUUGGAACUACGAAACGGUAUUUCGGGAGAUUCCCCUGUUUUGCAUAUUUAUUUUGGGACUACGGAACGGUAUUCCGGGAGAUCCCCCUGCACAUUUACGUUUGGGAAUACGAGACGGUAUCUCGGGAGAUCCCCUGUAGUUAUCACUGUGUUCUGAGCUGUUGUCUUUCAUUGAUUCUAUUCCUGUUAGAUUUCUGCAUUUAUUUUACUGCGAUAUUUCAUUCUGUCUUAUUUCAUUAUAUUUAUAACAGUAGGGCCCUGACCUGAUCUCGUCAAUACUCGUAUGCAGAUCCAGGUUCAUCUGGUGUACUCACGCCCUUUCCUGCACAUAUUUUUUGUGUGCAGAUCGAGGUUCAUCUUACCAGCCUCAUCACUAGUUGCAGCCGCUGCUUCUUAUUGGAGAUUUCAAGGUACAUCUGCUCGCGCCCGCAGAUCCUCGGAGUCCCCCUCUAUCUCCCUAUGUUCAUUUUUUUCCCUCUUUCUGUAGAAAUGAUGUAUAAAAUAGUUAAGACUUCUUAGUAGCUUGUGACUUGCGAGUUUUCGGGUUUUGGGAAAUAUGUUUUUUUUUUCCGUACUUUCCAGAGGUGAUAAUUGUAUAUGCUGAGUGGCAUUCAGUUGCUUAUUAGAUAUAGUUACUGUUAGUAGUUAAUGUUCGUGUUUUUAUUUCAUUUUCGCAAAGUGUUAGGCUUACCUAGUCGUAGAGAUUAGGUGCCGUCAUGACGGUUCACGGAGGGAGAAAUUGGGUCGUGACAUGACUUGUGUAUAAUUUUCUCCAGAGCAGU